This 355-nucleotide ribosomal RNA is filed under the name uncultured Pseudomonas sp. RNAcentral's name for it is "bacterial SSU rRNA". It matches the Rfam family "Bacterial small subunit ribosomal RNA", at positions 1029 to 1382 of the family's 1533-position model. The record is from RNAcentral. Lineage: Bacteria; Pseudomonadati; Pseudomonadota; Gammaproteobacteria; Pseudomonadales; Pseudomonadaceae.
CUGACACAGGUGCUGCAUGGCUGUCGUCAGGCUCGUGUCGUGAGAUGUUGGGUUAAGUCCCGUAACGAGCGCAACCCUGUCCUUAGUUACCAGCACGUUAUGGUGGGCACUCUAAGGAGACUGCCGGUGACAAACCGGAGGAAGGUGGGGAGUGACGUCAAGUCAUCAUGGCCCUUACGGCCUGGGCUACACACGUGCUACAAUGGUCGGUACAAAGGGUUGCCAAGCCGCGAGGUGGAGCUAAUCCCAUAAAACCGAUCGUAGUCCGGAUCGCAGUCUGCAACUCGACUGCGUGAAGUCGGAAUCGCUAGUAAUCGUGAAUCAGAAUGUCACGGUGAAUACGUUCCCGGGCCUU